This is a non-coding RNA of Macaca mulatta (Rhesus monkey), 392 nucleotides long. The record is from RefSeq and is a predicted model, not a curated record. Lineage: Eukaryota; Metazoa; Chordata; Mammalia; Primates; Cercopithecidae.
AAGCGGGGACUUUACUAAUGGGAAUCUCUGCACAGGAGGCAGAACUGAUUGCCCUUAUGAGAGCCCUGUGGUUGUCCCAAGUACACAGGGCACUCGGAAUAAAUUGGGAGUCGCACUCAGCAUGGAGACCACAAUCCUCUGGACCGAUGGAAAGGAAAAAUCAAACCCUAAAAACAGUUCUUACCAAACCGUGUCAGGAAACUCAACUGAAAUGGAUUUAGGGCUUUGGCCUUGCACUGCUCCGGAUUAAUUGCAUGGCUGAGCAUGGGACACAUGUGAUAAACGUUCUACAUUCACUUAAAGAAAUGUGGAUUCUCCAGGUGUUUGGUACAGCAUUCCAUGUAUGUUCAGUAUGUGAAUAUUUAUAAUCCUGUAUAAAUUCAUGUAUUCUA